GGCCUCGUAGUUCAACUGAAUAGAAUAUCAGAUUUCGGCUCUGAGGGUUGGGGGUUUGAGUCCCUCCGAGGUCA
This 74-nucleotide transfer RNA is filed under the name Bacteroidetes bacterium GWE2_29_8. RNAcentral describes it as "tRNA-Arg". It matches the Rfam family "tRNA". From Rfam's summary of the family: Transfer RNA (tRNA) molecules are approximately 80 nucleotides in length. Their secondary structure includes four short double-helical elements and three loops (D, anti-codon, and T loops). RNAcentral also lists the same sequence under 1 other name. The record is from RNAcentral. Lineage: Bacteria; Pseudomonadati; Bacteroidota.